This 256-nucleotide ribosomal RNA is filed under the name uncultured bacterium. Its description in RNAcentral is "partial 16S ribosomal RNA". It matches the Rfam family "Bacterial small subunit ribosomal RNA", at positions 524 to 776 of the family's 1533-position model. The record is from RNAcentral.
UACGUAGGGUGCGAGCGUUGUCCGGAUUACUGGGCGUAAAGGGCGCGUAGGCGGUCGUGACAAGUCACUUGUGAAAUCCCCGGGCUCAACCUGGGAACUGCAUUUGUGACUGCAUGGCUAGAGUACGGUAGAGGGGGGGGAUGGAAUUCCGCGUGUAGCAGUGAAAUGCGUAGAUAUGCGGAGGAACACCGAUGGCGAAGGCAAUCCCCUGGACCUGUACUGACGCUCAUGCACGAAAGCGUGGGGAGCAAACAGG